RNAcentral lists this ribosomal RNA (690 nucleotides) under Klebsiella pneumoniae. RNAcentral's name for it is "bacterial SSU rRNA". It matches the Rfam family "Bacterial small subunit ribosomal RNA", at positions 53 to 731 of the family's 1533-position model. The record is from RNAcentral. Lineage: Bacteria; Pseudomonadati; Pseudomonadota; Gammaproteobacteria; Enterobacterales; Enterobacteriaceae.
CCAUGGCAAGUCGAGCGGUAGCACAGUAGAGCUUGCUCUCGGGUGACGAGCGGCGGACGGGUGAGUAAUGUCUGGCCAAACUGCCUGAUGGAGGGGGAUAACUACUGGAAACGGUAGCUAAUACCGCAUAAUGUCGCAAGACCAAAGUGGGGGACCUUCGGGCCUCUUGCCAUCAAAUGUGCCCCGAUGGGAUUAGCUAGUAGGUGGGGUAACGGCUCACCUAGGCAACUAUCCCUAGCUGGUCUGAGAGGAUGACCAGCCACACUGGAACUGACACACGGUCCACACUCCUACGGGAGGCAGCAGUGGGGAAUAUUGCACAAUGGGCGCAAGCCUGAUGCAUGCAUGCCGCGUGUGUGAAGAAGGCCUUCGGGUUGUAAAUCACUUUCAGCGGGGAGGAAGGCGGUGAGGUUAAUAACCUUAGCGAUUGACGUUACCCGCAGAAGAAGCACCGGCUAACUCCGUGCCAGCAGCCGCGGUAAUACGGAGGGUGCAAGCGUUAAUCGUAAUUACUGGGCGUAAAGCGCACGCAGGCGGUAUGUCAAGUCGGAUGUGAAAUCCCCGGGCUCAACCUGGGAACUGCUUUCUAAACUGGAAGGCUAGAGUCUUGUAGAGGGGGGUAGAAUUCCAGGUGUAGCGGUGAAAUGCGUAGAGAUCUGGAAGAAUACCGGGGGCGAAGGCGGCCCCUCC